UACGUAGGGGGCAAGCGUUAUCCGGAUUUACUGGGUGUAAAGGGAGCGUAGACGGCGAUGCAAGUCUGAAGUGAAAGCCCGGGGCUCAACCCCGGGACUGCUUUGGAAACUGUAUGGCUGGAGUGCUGGAGAGGCAAGCGGAAUUCCUAGUGUAGCGGUGAAAUGCGCAGAUAUUAGGAAGAACACCAGUGGCGAAGGCGGCUUGCUGGACAGUAACUGACGUUGAGGCUCGAAAGCGUGGGGAGCAAACAGG
This 253-nucleotide ribosomal RNA is filed under the name uncultured bacterium. Its description in RNAcentral is "partial 16S ribosomal RNA". It matches the Rfam family "Bacterial small subunit ribosomal RNA", at positions 524 to 776 of the family's 1533-position model. The record is from RNAcentral.